RNAcentral lists this ribosomal RNA (252 nucleotides) under uncultured bacterium. Its description in RNAcentral is "partial 16S ribosomal RNA". It matches the Rfam family "Bacterial small subunit ribosomal RNA", at positions 524 to 776 of the family's 1533-position model. The record is from RNAcentral.
UACGAGGGGAGCUAGCGUUGUUCGGAAUUACUGGGCGUAAAGCGCACGUAGGCGGCUUUCUAAGUCGGGGUGAAAUCCUGGAGCUCAACUCCAGAACUGCCUUCGAUACUGGAGAGCUCGAGUCCGGGAGAGGUGAGCGGAACUGCGAGUGUAGAGGUGAAAUUCGUAGAUAUUGGGAAGAACACCGAUGGCGAAGGCAGCCAUCUGGACCGACACUGACGCUGAGGCGCGAAAGCGUGGGGAGCAAACAGG